This is a regulatory RNA element of Anopheles gambiae str. PEST, 114 nucleotides long. It matches the Rfam family "Potassium channel RNA editing signal". From Rfam's summary of the family: This family represents a group of sequences related to the human potassium channel Kv1.1 hairpin element which directs the efficient modification of an adenosine to inosine by an adenosine deaminase acting on RNA (ADAR). The record is from Rfam. NCBI's taxonomy places the organism in Eukaryota, Metazoa, Arthropoda, Insecta, Diptera, Culicidae.
GUUGGGUACGGUGACAUGACGCCCAAGACGUACAUCGGCAUGUUUGUCGGUGCGCUGUGUGCGCUGGCCGGUGUGCUGACGAUCGCCCUGCCCGUGCCCGUCAUCGUGAGCAAC